AAGGCGCCCCCUGCUGGAAACAACGCAUUGGUCUGCCGUUUUACUGCCCAUAUAUUUUGAGAUGAUAGAUAAAAGUUGUCAAUUUUUAAGUCGAGAUUCACAGUAGUCUGCUAGUUCGUGACAACGUUACAAAUGUGUUUAUACUGCGGUGAAUAGCAGAGUUUAAAACAAUCAGUUCGACAUGGCCGAUAAAAUAUUUUUUGCUGUUUCCAUAAUAACAACAUUCAUCUGUUCCUGUUUAAGCCAGGGUCCAUUUAUACUGAACAGCACGUGUCCACAACGUUCCGACUGCAACGUGUACGGCAACACUAAACAUCCACACUGUUACGACUGCACUCAGUUCGUCGUCUGCCUGAAAGGGAACUACGCCAUUGUGAACUGUC
Gigantopelta aegis is the source of this 383-nucleotide long non-coding RNA. RefSeq lists it as uncharacterized. Lineage: Eukaryota; Metazoa; Mollusca; Gastropoda; Neomphalida; Peltospiridae. The record is from RefSeq and is a predicted model, not a curated record. The transcript is spliced from 3 exons.